GUGGGUAUAGCUCAGCAGUAGAGUGCGUGCUUAGCAUGCACGAGGUCCUGGCUUCAAUCCCCAGCACUUCCA
RNAcentral lists this transfer RNA (72 nucleotides) under Camelus bactrianus (Bactrian camel). It matches the Rfam family "tRNA". From Rfam's summary of the family: Transfer RNA (tRNA) molecules are approximately 80 nucleotides in length. Their secondary structure includes four short double-helical elements and three loops (D, anti-codon, and T loops). RNAcentral also lists the same sequence under 2 other names. The record is from Rfam by way of RNAcentral. Lineage: Eukaryota; Metazoa; Chordata; Mammalia; Artiodactyla; Camelidae.